This 588-nucleotide ribosomal RNA is filed under the name Colletotrichum gloeosporioides. RNAcentral describes it as "eukaryotic LSU rRNA". The stretch from base 231 to 384 matches the Rfam family "5.8S ribosomal RNA". The record is from RNAcentral. Lineage: Eukaryota; Fungi; Ascomycota; Sordariomycetes; Glomerellales; Glomerellaceae.
UAGAGGAAGUAAAAGUCGUAACAAGGUCUCCGUUGGUGAACCAGCGGAGGGAUCAUUACUGAGUUUACGCUCUACAACCCUUUGUGAACAUACCUACAACUGUUGCUUCGGCGGGUAGGGUCUCCGCGACCCUCCCGGCCUCCCGCCUCCGGGCGGGUCGGCGCCCGCCGGAGGAUAACCAAACUCUGAUUUAACGACGUUUCUUCUGAGUGGUACAAGCAAAUAAUCAAAACUUUUAACAACGGAUCUCUUGGUUCUGGCAUCGAUGAAGAACGCAGCGAAAUGCGAUAAGUAAUGUGAAUUGCAGAAUUCAGUGAAUCAUCGAAUCUUUGAACGCACAUUGCGCCCGCCAGCAUUCUGGCGGGCAUGCCUGUUCGAGCGUCAUUUCAACCCUCAAGCUCUGCUUGGUGUUGGGGCCCUACAGCCGAUGUAGGCCCUCAAAGGUAGUGGCGGACCCUCCCGGAGCCUCCUUUGCGUAGUAACUUUACGUCUCGCACUGGGAUCCGGAGGGACUCUUGCCGUAAAACCCCCCAAUUUUCCAAAGGUUGACCUCGGAUCAGGUAGGAAUACCCGCUGAACUUAAGCAUA